Homo sapiens (human) is the source of this 1613-nucleotide long non-coding RNA. Lineage: Eukaryota; Metazoa; Chordata; Mammalia; Primates; Hominidae. The record is from Ensembl.
CGGCUUGGGGCUUGGUUCUAUGUCCCUGCGGGUCGGUGCAAGGGCGAAGAGGAACCCGUGGGCCUCAGGGGAUCCCGGGGGGCCGGACCAGUGUUCCCUAGUUGUGGGAGCAGACGCGUGGGCACAUUGCGGGCGGGCAGGGCCUGAAGUGCAGGUGCGGGCAGUGGACCCUGGCGGGGGCUGGGAGGACAGGCGUGGGGUCCCGGCAGUGAAACGGGUUCUAGAGGCGCAGGAGCAGGUAGGAGAGGCCGGUGGCCCUGGGCCCGGAGUCUGCAGGCCGCGCUCCUGUCCUGCCGCUGAGGGACCCGGUUACCAACCUGCAUGACGCUCAGUUUGCCCAUCUGUCCCAGUGGUAACACACAGUUCUCGGGAGACGUUCCCCAUUCCCAGAGGAGUAGUGUGAAACGCGUGCGCCUCUAGUCUUAAACUUGGCGUUUGUAUUAGUUGGGUUUCCUGGUGUCUCUUUAGCAAGUGAAGUUUCUGGUUCCCUCCUUCACUGUGUGACCUGCCUAGUCCUCCUGGGUCGCAUUUACAGAAGUUUAUACGAGACCUAGUUUCCAGGGAAGAACUCACUGAUUCCGCGAGGGAGAUGGCUUAAUGGAUGAUGGUCGUCAGCCUUAAGGAUACUUCAGUCUUAACUGUGUGUUACAAAGUUUGAAAGGGAGGGUUCCCUAUGAAUAAGAAGCACACUUGAAAGAACAGCCAUCUGGUCUAACCUCUCACUGGUGCUUCAGAGGAGGAAAAAAGGUCACAGCUAUGUUUCCAGUGUCCUCUGGGUGUUUCCAAGAGCAACAAGAAAUGAAUAAAUCUCUGCCACCCUCCAGGGUGCCCCGACUCACUUUCCCUGCAGAUGGAGGCAAGGAGGCUCCACAGACAACCCCCCUGCCUGAGGUCACAUAGUGGCCAGCAGGCCAGGGCCCUUCCCACAGAGCCCCGAUCUAAAGACAGAACACAGAGGCUACAGGAAGACUAAUCCAGAACCUCUGAGACAGCCAGGGACCACAUGAGGACUCUCCCCAGACAGCCAGAAGGCCCUUUGCUAGUUUCUUGGUACUUCAGUGGAUGUGGCAGUGGUUCUUCUGUUGGGGACCAGUGAGUACACACUGGGGAGGGCUCACCUGUGCUUCCUCAGUGGCUCCACCUCUGCUUCUAAAAAAAAUGACUCAUUCCAGAGCUGGCGCAGAGAAAAUACAAGCUGAGCUUAGAACAUCUUCUGCCAGAAAGUAAAAAAGUGCCGACAGAGUAAUGGAGACAAAUCAAAGAGACAUAAAGUCAGCUUGGAAUGUCUACUACUGGCCUAAUCUUGGGGAAUUGGAGCAUCAGAAUCAUGAGCUUUCCUUCUCCCUUAUUUAUUGGUUUUAUUUCUCCAUGUAGAACAAAGAAGAGAAUAAGAAAAUAAUCAUCUGGUAACCAUCAUAGUAAUAAUUGUUCAAACACAAGUCAUCCAUGAAAUGCUAAAUCUAGUGGGUUCUGAGGAGUAACCAGAUAUUUACAGAGCCUCAAAGUAUCUCCAUACAAAAUACGGUUGAACUACAAAAAGAAAAUUGUAACAUUAGCAUGGACAAACCUGGCAGGUACUCCUUAACUCUCCUAAGUAAUAAAAACUGUAAAAU